CAGCAGCCGCCGCGGUAAUACGAAGGGUGCAAGCGUUACUCGGAAUUACUGGGCGUAAAGCGUGCGUAGGUGGUGGUUUAAGUCCGUUGUGAAAGCCCUGGGCUCAACCUGGGAAUUGCAGUGGAUACUGGGUCACUAGAGUGUGGUAGAGGAUAGUGGAAUUUCCGGUGUAGCAGUGAAAUGCGUAGAGAUCGGAAGGAACAUCUGUGGCGAAGGCGACUAUCUGGGCCAACACUGACACUGAGGCACGAAAGCGUGGGGAGCAAACAGGAUUAGAUACCCCAGUAGUCCCUGUCUCUUAUAC
Molecule: ribosomal RNA, 304 nt
Filed under: uncultured bacterium
Lineage: Bacteria
Description: partial 16S ribosomal RNA
Rfam family: Bacterial small subunit ribosomal RNA
Source: RNAcentral